RNAcentral lists this ribosomal RNA (400 nucleotides) under uncultured bacterium. RNAcentral's name for it is "partial 16S ribosomal RNA". It matches the Rfam family "Bacterial small subunit ribosomal RNA", at positions 359 to 775 of the family's 1533-position model. The record is from RNAcentral.
GAUAUUGCGACAAUGGGCGAAAGCCUGACGCAGCAACGCCCCGCUCGGGAGGACGGCCUUCGGGUUGUAAACCGCCUUUCGAGGGGAAGAGGAAGGACUGUACCCCCGGAAUCAGUCUCGUCUACCUACGUGCCAGCAGCCGCGGUAAAACGUAGGAGGCGAGCGUUAUCCGGAUUUACUGGGUGUAAAGCGCGUGCAGGCGGCCGUGCAAGUCGUGCGUGAAAGCGCCCGGCUCAACCGGGCGAGGUCGUGCGAAACUGCGGGGCUUGAGGCAGGUAGAGGCGUGUGGAAUUCCGGGUGUAGUGGUGAAAUGCGUAGAGAUCCGGAGGAACACCAGUGGCGAAGGCGGCACGCUGGGCCUGGCCUGACGCUCAGACGCGAAAGCAUGGGGAGCGAACGG